CGGCCGAAUCCCGUGGUUUUCUUCUUCUCGACUUUAUUGAACAUGCAACAAAGGAAAGUAAUCUCAAAGCGACAGAUUAUAUUUUUCCAACAUUAAUUGGUGACCCCUGAACGUGAAAAGUGGGGAAGAAACGCGGAAGCGCAACGCGGAGACAGCAGUAGUGACGUGUCAUGCUCAGCCAUUCGGAGACCAAAACAGGAUGACAGGUGGAAAAAUCCUGGGAGAAGCAGGCCACCCAGGGGACCCCAGCAGCAGUUGGAAAUGGCAUCUAUGGCGCUCUGAACCCUGACAGCCCACAACGAGGUGCCCAACAGCAGAAUGUACAGACCGAGAGGCAGAGGGUCUGGAGGAAAAAUGAACAGUACCCAUGACCACUCCAAGCCCUCCUCCACCGUGGCGAGGACCACAGGGCAAGUCGGACAACACCACUUGAUGCAGGAGCCAUUGUCUUUUUCAAGCUCAAAGGUAACCACUGAUGAGUCUACUGGACACUCUACCUGCUCUGACAAAUGAACAAAUGACUCCUCAAAACCUGCAAAAGACCAUCCGACUGACUUUUGACCAGAUGGUGGAACAUUCAUGCGUGCAUUCACCAAACACGCCUGUGAAUCUGUUGGGGUGGGACAGUCUUGUCAAAACAGGAGACGGCAGACUGGAUGCCAUGCUGGACACCACAGCCGACCCCCACUGCAGAAAGGGCCCUGAAACGCCAGGUGGUUUCGUUAAUUUCAGGUUUGAAGCCUGGAUUCCUGUGUUUGAAGCCUCCGAAUGGUCUGACCUGUACACUCCAUUAUGACAGAGAGCAUGAUUAACAGUAAGAAGUAUUUCAGCAGGUAGAAGACCACACAUGGCAUUUGAACUACACUGACAUAUAUUAACCCUGAGGGCGAGCGGCUUAUUGUGCAUUCAUACACUCACAAAUGCAAUGAUACUAGCUGUCAGACACAGCUGUAUCUCACAUAGGAUUAGACUAAGCAGGACAUUAACAACACAUUGGUUAAAUUGUGUUGAUUCAGGUGUUCACUUUCCUCCCUCAAAUAAAAUGUACAGGUUAAUUUUGCCGUUCAACAACCGAGCAGAGAGGAGACGGCUCAUGAGGAUGCAGAGGUGAUGUUAAAACGCUCUCUGAUGCUUCAUGGUCCACAGGUUCAGUUGAUGUUGGUUCAUUCUUCAUCGUCCCCCCGGUGGUGAUUCAGGUCAUUGCAGGAGCACAGGUUUUUGGAUCUCAGUGCAGCUGAGUGACUGAUGCAGAUGAAGGGAGGAAGGAAACUCAGUCUGGGCUGUAGAACUAUGGUGUCAUUGAAUAUUCGUAUUCUUCAUGGUGUACUUCUUUGAAACCGGUUUUAAAAGUAGAUGGAUUGCAUAUGAUUUAAGCUAAUGUUAAUUUGAAUUGAUGACGUCACCAUUAUUAUAAAACCUAUCCGUCCCUGAUCCAUAUUGCAUGCUGUCACCUUUAACCUCACAAGGUGUGUUGUUUGUUGCUAUUGACUUAGCACACGUUUUCUUUUAAUGGAAUCAUUACAUAAAAAUAGCAAUUAUUUACAUUUUAGUACAGAGGGGUUCAUAAAAUCCAUCUUGCAUUUUUGAUCACUGUUUAAAGUCUCUGACAGAACAUUAUGCUAUAAGAGGUUUGUGUUUUGCUAAUACAGGUUGAUGACAUCUGCCUGCAAUUAAUGACAGAUCUUCUGUUGCAGUUGUAUUAUUUCUUCUUGUGACCUUGCCUUUUACAGGAGCGUGGACAGGACGCCUGUUCACCUUAUCGGUGCACCAAACUGUUUAUUGUUUUUAUGUUCUUGCUUUACAUUUAAUUCGUUUUAUGUGUUUGUCCUGGAGCUUAGCCCCAGGCCAAGAGAGGGAGGUAGACAAAAGAGGUCUUAAUGAUUAAAAGAAGGACAUUAUUUUAUUAUCGUUUAAAUGUAUUUGUCUAGAAAGAGAUUGACCAUUUAGAAAGAAUGUUUAAAUAGUAACACAGAUUGACCAUUUUUAAAAAUUUUAAAGCUUUGUGUGUCUGUUCAUCUGAUUUUCUCUCAUCCACAGCAAGGAUGAGUAGGUUCUACGACUGGGUCAUUACACAACAGCCCAUAAUAAACUUUUUUUCUUUUUUUCUUGAAUUUGUAUUUUCCCCACUUGUGUUCUUCAUAAAACAGCACGAGGGGAAGCAGACCUUUGAGAAGAGAAAUGUGGUGGACCUUUUCCAUCAUAUUUUCUCUUACUGCGCAUGCGUAAAUUGAUUCUUGUCUCAUUGUCUUUUGUGUUUUAUUGUUUUUUAUUUUUUAAUUUCCUGACCCUAACACUAACAAAAACUUAGACCCACAGCAGAAUCAUCUUGGCAGAA
Oryzias latipes (Japanese medaka) is the source of this 2335-nucleotide long non-coding RNA. RefSeq lists it as uncharacterized. NCBI's taxonomy places the organism in Eukaryota, Metazoa, Chordata, Actinopteri, Beloniformes, Adrianichthyidae. The record is from RefSeq and is a predicted model, not a curated record.